RNAcentral lists this ribosomal RNA (253 nucleotides) under uncultured bacterium. RNAcentral's name for it is "partial 16S ribosomal RNA". It matches the Rfam family "Bacterial small subunit ribosomal RNA", at positions 524 to 776 of the family's 1533-position model. The record is from RNAcentral.
UACGAAGGGGGCUAGCGUUGUUCGGAAUUACUGGGCGUAAAGCGCGCGCAGGCGGUUCUCCAAGUCAGUGGUGAAAGCCCGGAGCUCAACUCCGGAAUUGCCAUUGAAACUGUAGAACUUGAGGACGAGAGAGGUGAGUGGAAUUCCCAGUGUAGAGGUGAAAUUCGUAGAUAUUGGGAAGAACACCGGUGGCGAAGGCGGCUCACUGGCUCGUUUCUGACGCUCAGGCGCGACAGCGUGGGGAUCAAACAGG